Erinaceus europaeus (western European hedgehog) is the source of this 337-nucleotide unclassified non-coding RNA. Its record names the gene 7SK. It matches the Rfam family "7SK RNA". From Rfam's summary of the family: 7SK was discovered as an abundant small nuclear RNA in the mid-70s but a possible function has only recently been suggested. Two independent studies have found that 7SK RNA binds the CDK9/cyclin T complex (known as elongation factor P-TEFb). P-TEFb activates transcription by phosphorylating the C-terminal domain of RNA polymerase II. NCBI's taxonomy places the organism in Eukaryota, Metazoa, Chordata, Mammalia, Eulipotyphla, Erinaceidae. The record is from Ensembl.
GGAUGUGAGGGUGAUCUGACUGCGACAUCUGUCACCCCAUUGAUCGCCAGGGUUGAUUCAGCUGAUCUGGCUGGCAAGGUGGGUGUCCCCUUCCUCCCUCACUGCUCCAUGUGCAUUGCUCCUGAAGCUGCACUGGCCAAAGAGGACUGCCUUCCCUGAAUAGAAACAGACCUGUCUUUGGUUGAGGGUAUACAAUUAGCUGUGCUCCCUGCUAGAUCCUCCAAACAAGCUCUCAAAUUUAUGGUCCCAUUUCGUUUCCCUGUUAAAAUGAGUUAGUUGUACGAGGCUGUAAAGUCCAGAACUUGUAUCUGGAGGUUCUGGAGAACUCUCACUCUCC